AGAAUGGCUGAGUAAGCAUUAGACUGUAAAUCUAAAGACAGAGGAAUAGCCCCUCUUUUUACCA
This 64-nucleotide transfer RNA is filed under the name Lepilemur randrianasoloi (Randrianasolo's sportive lemur). Its description in RNAcentral is "tRNA-Tyr". It matches the Rfam family "tRNA". From Rfam's summary of the family: Transfer RNA (tRNA) molecules are approximately 80 nucleotides in length. Their secondary structure includes four short double-helical elements and three loops (D, anti-codon, and T loops). Further hydrogen bonds mediate the characteristic L-shaped molecular structure. tRNAs have two regions of fundamental functional importance: the anti-codon, which is responsible for specific mRNA codon recognition, and the 3' end, to which the tRNAs corresponding amino acid is attached (by aminoacyl-tRNA synthetases). tRNAs cope with the degeneracy of the genetic code in two manners: having more than one tRNA (with a specific anti-codon) for a particular amino acid; and 'wobble' base-pairing, i.e. permitting non-standard base-pairing at the 3rd anti-codon position. Lineage: Eukaryota; Metazoa; Chordata; Mammalia; Primates; Lepilemuridae. The record is from RNAcentral.